RNAcentral lists this ribosomal RNA (406 nucleotides) under uncultured bacterium. RNAcentral's name for it is "partial 16S ribosomal RNA". It matches the Rfam family "Bacterial small subunit ribosomal RNA", at positions 28 to 526 of the family's 1533-position model. The record is from RNAcentral.
GAUGAACGCUGACAGAAUGCUUAACACAUCAGCAAUUGAUUGGUGGCGGACGGGUGGGUAACGCGUAUAGAACUUGCCUCCCAGGUAGGGACCACAUUUGGAAACGAAUGCUAAUACCUAAUCCUGUGAGAGAGCUUUGCGUCCCAUUAGCUAGUUGGCGAGGUAACGGCUCACCAAGGCGAUGAUGGGUAGCCGGCCUGGGAGGGUGAUCGGCCACAAGGGGACUGAGGAACGGCCCGUGCUCCUACUGGAGGCAGCAGUGGGGAAUAUUGGACAAUGGACCAAAGUCUGAUCCAGCACUUCUGGGUGCACGAUGCAGUUUUCGGAAUGUAAAGUGUUUUCAGUUGGGAAGCGGUACCAACAGAAGAAGUGACGGCUAAAUCCGUGCCAGCAGCCGCGGUAAUAC